CGUGAACAAUUCUGAUCCAAUAUUAUUUGGAUACGUGGCUAAGAUCUACUAGUCAGAAUCAAAUAGUCUGGACAUUCUGGACGCCGAAUUAUCUUAUCAAAAUGACAGCCUAAUAAUGAUUUCACAGCUUUUGAAACAGCAAAACAGUCGGAGAUCUCUCGUAUUUCAAAAGCUCAUAAAGGCCAGCGCUAAAUCGAGGCUCGAGGCAUCAUAUGACGACUCUUUUCGUCCAAUGUGAUAGACCACGUGAUAAUAUACACAUCGGACC
This 268-nucleotide long non-coding RNA is filed under the name Elaeis guineensis (African oil palm). Its description in RNAcentral is "long non-coding RNA (EGUI_LNC025541)". Lineage: Eukaryota; Viridiplantae; Streptophyta; Magnoliopsida; Arecales; Arecaceae. The record is from RNAcentral.